GACGAACGCUGGCGGCGUGCUUAACACAUGCAAGUCGAACGGAAAGGCCCUGCUUUUGUGGUGUGCUCGAGUAGCGAACGGGUGAGUAACACGUGAGUAACCUGCCCUUGACUUUGGGAUAACUUCAGGAAACUAGGGAUCAUACCGGAUAGGAGCUCCUGCUGCAGGGUGGGGGAUGGAAAGUUUCGGCGGGUGGGGAUGGACUGGCGGCGUAUCGGCUUGUUGGGGGGGUAGUGGCUUGCCAAGGCAUGGCCGGGUAGCCGGCCUGGGAGGGGGACCGGCAGCGCUGGGACGGAGAUACGGCCCAGACUCCAACGGGAGGCAGCGGUGGGGAAUAUUGCACAAUGGGAGGAAGCCUGAUGCAGCAACGCCGCGUGCGGGAUGACGGCAUGCGGGUUGGAAACCGCUUUCGCCUGUGACGAAGAGUGAGUGACGGUAAUGGGUAAAGAAGCACCGGCUAACUACGUG
This 468-nucleotide ribosomal RNA is filed under the name uncultured bacterium. Its description in RNAcentral is "partial 16S ribosomal RNA". It matches the Rfam family "Bacterial small subunit ribosomal RNA", at positions 28 to 507 of the family's 1533-position model. The record is from RNAcentral.